This 207-nucleotide ribosomal RNA is filed under the name uncultured bacterium. Its description in RNAcentral is "partial 16S ribosomal RNA". It matches the Rfam family "Bacterial small subunit ribosomal RNA", at positions 568 to 774 of the family's 1533-position model. The record is from RNAcentral.
CGCGUAGGCGGAUUAGCAAGUCAUGGGUGAAAUUCCAAGGCUUAACCUUGGAACUGCCUGUGAAACUGCUAAUCUAGAGGAAAGGUGGAGAAAAUGGAAUUCCCCAUGUAGCGGUGAAAUGCGUAGAUAUGGGGAGGAACACCGGUGGCGAAAGCGGUUUUCUAACCUUCACCUGACGCUGAGGCGCGAAAGCGAGGGGAGCAAACA